AGUGAACGCUGGCGGUAGGCCUAACACAUGCAAGUCGAACGGCAGCACAGUAAGAGCUUGCUCUUACGGGUGGCGAGUGGCGGACGGGUGAGGAAUACAUCGGAAUCUACUUUUUCGUGGGGGAUAACGUAGGGAAACUUACGCUAAUACCGCAUACGACCUACGGGUGAAAGCAGGGGAUCUUCGGACCUUGCGCGAUUGAAUGAGCCGAUGUCGGAUUAGCUAGUUGGCGGGGUAAAGGCCCACCAAGGCGACGAUCCGUAGCUGGUCUGAGAGGAUGAUCAGCCACACUGGAACUGAGACACGGUCCAGACUCCGACGGGAGGCAGCAGUGGGGAAUAUUGGACGAUGGGCGCAAGCCUGAUCCAGCCAUACCGCGUGGGUGAAGAAGGCCUUCGGGUUGUAAAGCCCUUUUGUUGGGAAAGAAAAGCAGCAGGUUAAUACCCCGCUGUUCUGACGGUACCCAAAGAAUAAGCACCGGCUAACUUCGUG
This 492-nucleotide ribosomal RNA is filed under the name uncultured bacterium. RNAcentral describes it as "partial 16S ribosomal RNA". It matches the Rfam family "Bacterial small subunit ribosomal RNA", at positions 29 to 507 of the family's 1533-position model. The record is from RNAcentral.